GCGCGCUACCAUGCAGUCGAGCGGAGAUGAGGUGCUUGCACCUUAUCUUAGCGGCGGACGGGUGAGUAAUGCUUAGGAAUCUGCCAUUUAGUGGGGGACAACAUUCCGAAAGGAAUGCUAAUACCGCAUACGUCCUACGGGAGAAAGCAGGGGAUCUUCGGACCUUGCGCUAAAUGAUGAGCCUAAGUCGGAUUAGCUAGUUGGUGGGGUAAAGGCCUACCAAGGCGACGAUCUGUAGCGGGUCUGAGAGGAUGAUCCGCCACACUGGGACUGAGACACGGCCCAGACUCCUACGGGAGGCAGCAGUGGGGAAUAUUGGACAAUGGGCGGAAGCCUGAUCCAGCCAUGCCGCGUGUGUGAAGAAGGCCUUUUGGUUGUAAAGCACUUUAAGCGAGGAGGAGGCUCCAAUUAAUACUCUGGAUAGUGGACGUUACUCGCAGAAUAAGCACCGGCUAACUCUGUGCCAGCAGCCGCGGUAAUACAGAGGGUGCGAGCGUUAAUCGGAUUUACUGGGCGUAAAGCGUGCGUAGGCGGCUUUUUAAGUCGGAUGUGAAAUCCCGAGCUUAACUUGGAAUUGCAUUCGAUACUGGUAGCUAGAGUAUGGGAGAGGAUGGUAGAAUUCCAGGUGUAGCGGUGAAAUGCGUAGAGAUCUGGAGGAAUACCGAUGGCGAAGGCAGCCAUCUGGCCUAAUACUGACGCUGAGGUACGAAAGCAUGGGGAGCAAACAGGAUUAGAUACCCUGGUAGUCCAUGCCGUAAACGAUGUCUACUAGCCGUUGGGGCCUUUGAGGCUUUAGUGGCGCAGCUAACGCGAUAAGUAGACCGCCUGGGGAGUACGGUCGCAAGACUAAAACUCAAAUGAAUUGACGGGGGCCCGCACAAGCGGUGGAGCAUGUGGUUUAAUUCGAUGCAACGCGAAAACUUUACCUGGCCUUGACAUACUAAAACUUUCCAAAUGGAUUGGUGCCUUCGGAAACUUAAUACAGGUGCUGCAUGGCUUUCUCAGCUCUGUCUGAAUGUUGGGUUAAUCCCCACCGAGCC
This 1040-nucleotide ribosomal RNA is filed under the name Acinetobacter junii. RNAcentral describes it as "bacterial SSU rRNA". It matches the Rfam family "Bacterial small subunit ribosomal RNA", at positions 46 to 1098 of the family's 1533-position model. The record is from RNAcentral. Lineage: Bacteria; Pseudomonadati; Pseudomonadota; Gammaproteobacteria; Moraxellales; Moraxellaceae.